UACGUAGGUGGCAGGCGUUGUCCGGAUUUAUUGGGUUUAAAGGGUGCGUAGGCGGCUUUGUAAGUCAGUGGUGAAAUAUGGCAGCUCAAUUGUCAAGGUGCCAUUGAUACUGCGGAGCUUGAGUACAGAUGAGGUAGGCGGAAUUGACGGUGUAGCGGUGAAAUUCGUAGAUAUUAGGAAGAACACCGGUGGCGAAGGCGGCCCACUGGAUCGGUACUGACGCUGAGGUGCGAAAGCGUGGGGAGCAAACAGG
RNAcentral lists this ribosomal RNA (253 nucleotides) under uncultured bacterium. Its description in RNAcentral is "partial 16S ribosomal RNA". It matches the Rfam family "Bacterial small subunit ribosomal RNA", at positions 524 to 776 of the family's 1533-position model. The record is from RNAcentral.